AGUGAACGCUGGCGGUAGGCCUAACACAUGCAAGUCGAACGGCAGCACAGUAAGAGCUUGCUCUUACGGGUGGCGAGUGGCGGACGGGUGAGGAAUACAUCGGAAUCUACUUUUUCGUGGGGGAUAACGUAGGGAAACUUACGCUAAUACCGCAUACGACCUACGGGUGAAAGCAGGGGAUCUUCGGACCUUGCGCGAUUGAAUGAGCCGAUGUCGGAUUAGCUAGUUGGCGGGGUAAAGGCCCACCAAGGCGACGAUCCGUAGCUGGUCUGAGAGGAUGACAGGCAAACUGGGAACGGAGACACGGCCCAGACCCCUCGGGGGGCAAGCAGGGGGGAAUUUUGGAAAAGGGGCGAAAGCUGGACCCACCAAUCCCGGGGGGGGAAAAAAGGCUUGCGGUUUUAAAAGCCUUUUUGUGGGGAAAAAAAAAAAGCGGUUAAACCCCCCGCUUUUCUGACGGUCCCAAAAAAAAAAGCCCCGGCUAACUUCGUG
Molecule: ribosomal RNA, 492 nt
Filed under: uncultured bacterium
Lineage: Bacteria
Description: partial 16S ribosomal RNA
Rfam family: Bacterial small subunit ribosomal RNA
Source: RNAcentral